RNAcentral lists this ribosomal RNA (1372 nucleotides) under uncultured bacterium. Its description in RNAcentral is "bacterial SSU rRNA". It matches the Rfam family "Bacterial small subunit ribosomal RNA", at positions 28 to 1381 of the family's 1533-position model. The record is from RNAcentral.
GAUGAACGCUGGCGGCGUGCCUAAUACAUGCAAGUCGAGCGAACAGACAAGGAGCUUGCUCCUUUGACGUUAGCGGCGGACGGGUGAGUAACACGUGGGUAACCUACCUAUAAGACUGGGAUAACUUCGGGAAACCGGAGCUAAUACCGGAUAAUAUUUCGAACCGCAUGGUUUGAUAGUGAAAGAUGGUUUUGCUAUCACUUAUAGAUGGACCCGCGCCGUAUUAGCUAGUUGGUAAGGUAACGGCUUACCAAGGCGACGAUACGUAGCCGACCUGAGAGGGUGAUCGGCCACACUGGAACUGAGACACGGUCCAGACUCCUACGGGAGGCAGCAGUAGGGAAUCUUCCGCAAUGGGCGAAAGCCUGACGGAGCAACGCCGCGUGAGUGAUGAAGGUCUUCGGAUCAUAAAACUCUGUUAUUAGGGAAGAACAUACAUGUAAGUAACUAUGCACGUCUUGACGGUACCUAAUCAGAAAGCCACGGCUAACUACGUGCCAGCAGCCGCGGUAAUACGUAGGUGGCAAGCGUUAUCCGGAAUUAUUGGGCGUAAAGCGCGCGUAGGCGGUUUUUUAAGUCUGAUGUGAAAGCCCACGGCUCAACCGUGGAGGGUCAUUGGAAACUGGAAAACUUGAGUGCAGAAGAGGAAAGUGGAAUUCCAUGUGUAGCGGUGAAAUGCGCAGAGAUAUGGAGGAACACCAGUGGCGAAGGCGACUUUCUGGUCUGUAACUGACGCUGAUGUGCGAAAGCGUGGGGAUCAAACAGGAUUAGAUACCCUGGUAGUCCACGCCGUAAACGAUGAGUGCUAAGUGUUAGGGGGUUUCCGCCCCUUAGUGCUGCAGCUAACGCAUUAAGCACUCCGCCUGGGGAGUACGACCGCAAGGUUGAAACUCAAAGGAAUUGACGGGGACCCGCACAAGCGGUGGAGCAUGUGGUUUAAUUCGAAGCAACGCGAAGAGCCUUACCAAAUCUUGACAUCCUUUGACAACUCUAGAGAUAGAGCCUUCCCCUUCGGGGGACAAAGUGACAGGUGGUGCAUGGUUGUCGUCAGCUCGUGUCGUGAGAUGUUGGGUUAAGUCCCGCAACGAGCGCAACCCUUAAGCUUAGUUGCCAUCAUUAAGUUGGGCACUCUAAGUUGACUGCCGGUGACAAACCGGAGGAAGGUGGGGAUGACGUCAAAUCAUCAUGCCCCUUAUGAUUUGGGCUACACACGUGCUACAAUGGACAAUACAAAGGGCAGCGAAACCGCGAGGUCAAGCAAAUCCCAUAAAGUUGUUCUCAGUUCGGAUUGUAGUCUGCAACUCGACUACAUGAAGCUGGAAUCGCUAGUAAUCGUAGAUCAGCAUGCUACGGUGAAUACGUCCCCGGGUCU